This 798-nucleotide ribosomal RNA is filed under the name marine metagenome. Its description in RNAcentral is "bacterial SSU rRNA". It matches the Rfam family "Bacterial small subunit ribosomal RNA", at positions 708 to 1520 of the family's 1533-position model. The record is from RNAcentral.
AAUUGCGAAGGCAGCUUUCUGGAUCAUUACUGACACUGAGGAACGAAAGCAUGGGUAGCGAAGAGGAUUAGAUACCCUCGUAGUCCAUGCCGUAAACGAUGUGUGUUAGACGUUGGAAAUUUAUUUUCAGUGUCGCAGCGAAAGCGAUAAACACACCGCCUGGGGAGUACGACCGCAAGGUUAAAACUCAAAUGAAUUGACGGGGACCCGCACAAGUAGUGGAGCAUGUGGUUUAAUUCGAAGAUACGCGCAGAACCUUACCAACACUUGACAUGUUCGUCGCGACUUUAAGAGAUUAAAGUUUUCGGUUCGGCCGGACGAAACACAGGUGCUGCAUGGCUGUCGUCAGCUCGUGUCGUGAGAUGUUGGGUUAAGUCCCGCAACGAGCGCAACCCUCACUUUUAGUUGCCAUCAUUAAGUUGGGCACUCUGAAAGAACUGCCAGUGAUAAGCUGGAGGAAGGUGGGGAUGACGUCAAGUCCUCAUGGCCCUUACGUGUUGGGCUACACACGUGCUACAAUGGUAUCUACAACAGGAAGCAAAACGGCGACGUUAAGCAAAUCCUUAAAAGAUACCUCAGUUCGGAUUGUACUCUGCAACUCGAGUACAUGAAGCUGGAAUUACUAGUAAUCGUGGAUCAGCGUGCCACGGUGAAUGCGUUCCCGGGUCUUGUACACACCGCCCGUCACACCAUGGGAGUUGGUUCUACCUUAAGGCAAGGUUUAAAACCCUUGACCACGGUAUAGUCAGCGACUGGGGUGAAGUCGUAACAAGGUAGCCGUAGGGGAACCUGCGGCUG